This 2235-nucleotide small RNA is filed under the name Rattus norvegicus (Norway rat). Its description in RNAcentral is "uncharacterized LOC102551595". Lineage: Eukaryota; Metazoa; Chordata; Mammalia; Rodentia; Muridae. The record is from RNAcentral.
AGGCCUAAGUAGGCCCCUCCCAUUCUGUGGUUGUCUUCCGAGGAGGGAUAGAACCUUCAGGAGAUGGAUGUUUGUGGGGGGCGGUGUGUCAGUGGGAGUGAGAAGUGAGGAGACCCUCAAGAACAAUAGCUGUCAUGGACAGAAAGACUGAACUUCGUAUAGCUGCCACAAGGGCCUCUGUCUCCUCCUUGGGUAGUAGUUCUGGGGCUGGUGGAGACAAGGGGGUAAGCCUCUGCUUUUUCACACUCACAUUUUUUCUACUGGCUGUCUCUAGGAAAGGCAGACAGUCUCGGUGGAGACCACCCAUGACAGAUGUGUGAGUGAAAUGCAUCAGCAGGAGACACCCACAGAAGUUGGAGGGAAUGACCAAAGGCUGACCAGUGUGGCCUACUCACCUCUGGCCAGCCUUGUGCCCCAGAUACCACGAAAAUGCUUUUUACUCAUCCUGGCUGAGAGAUUUGCCUGACUUGUAUUCUCUCUCCCAAUUCAUUGUGUUUGUCAGUGGGCCAGGGAUCAUUAGGCUAAAACUUCUUUGUCACCCAAAUUCUGCAGUGUCAUCCUGUUCCAGAAACAAUGAAACAAAUGCCGGCCUAAAUGAGGGACAAAGGGGCAACAGGAAGCUCCAGAACAAAGCUUCCACACACACUACCCUCUGUGGAAGCCACAGGCAGUGGAAAACAUCCACAGAACGCCAACUAUCCAAUGGGAUGCUCCACUGACGCCUGAGUCCUGACCUAGGUGCUACAUCCCAGUAUGCUCAAGGUUGCUAAGGACAGUGCCUGCCUCCGAGCUGAGGACCGGGUGUGGCUGACACCUUUCCCGUCCUUCCCUGCCUCAUGCAGGUCUUUAUUCUGAGACAGUGAGUUAGAGUUGAGCACGGGAGCACCAGUGACCAGCAAGGAUGCUCCUGGGUCUGUAUUCCCAGCCGCCAUCUUAGGGCCCUCCCUGGCCUCCCAGCCUAGAGCCAUCUUCUAAGUCCCACGACCAUGUGUGAUCUACAUGCUAUGCAGUCAUACCCCAGAGCCUCCUGCCUCUAACUGUGACCUCGUAGUCUAACUCUCCCAUUCCUCCCCCAUCACUUCACAUGUUUUUCUGGAAUACAGAGAAAUGGUGUAAGACACAUUCCUUUGUGGAGAGAGAAGGCAAGAGCAAAGCAUGGGAGAGGCUCUUGACUGAGAGAGUCAUGGUCAACUACAUUCCACAGCUUGAGUUUCAUCGAGCUCUUGAGCAUGCCGUCUCUGGGUGUUACCUAGCGAGGAACGCCUUCAACCAGCCUGGCUUCAUGUUUCUCAUCUUUGUCACCCAUCACCAUGAGAGAGUGUGUGGCACAGGGCAUCGCCAACAGGAAAGACAGUUACAUAAUCCAUGUUGAAAAAUAUAAUCAACUCCUUCUAGGAGCCAGGCACUCGGCUAGAGGCUGGGGAUAGAGAUGACCGAGACCGAUGUGGCAUGAACACUUCCAGAAUUAUUCCAGAAAGAGCAGCUGCUGAUGCCUCGAGAUUGCUAACCGUACCAGGACCUGGAUUAAGCAUCUUAGCGUCACGAGCUCAUUUCAUUCUCAGUAUAGUUUCUACCACUGCCCUUAUUGUACAGAUGGAACACGGAAGCCCAAGGAGCCCAUGUAUUCUCCCCUCCGUUAGCAAAUGGUGAACCUAGCACUUGAUCCUAGGGUUUGUGACUUGAGAACACUCUGAGAUCCACAGACUCUGCCCUCCCAAUGGGCUUCCUUUCUGAUCAAGGGAGAGGUUUAGCUCCCUUUCUUGUUCCCAUAGGGAGACUGUAGGUGAAGGUACAUAUGACGUAAGCAAUCUCCUUCUCCUCCUCCGCGGCUGGAGAUUUCGUACGUGAAUGGGGUAAUCUCCCCUGCAUUCCUCCAUUCGCAACACACUCAGGCUGAAAGAGCCCGAGGGCAGAAGCUGUGUCAUACUGCACAUGUGCACAGAGUGAGCGCCCCUGCAUCCCUGCAACAUUCCUCUACCAUGCAAUCCUCAAAGGCCGAAAGAACCUGUAGGCAGAGGCAGGGUCAGCUUGUUCAUGUGACUUACAGGCACCCUUCAUACUUCCUCUGCCUGAUACUCUGAUGUAAGCCUCAUGCUCUGCUGUGAGCGUUCAUAAGACAGAAGAGGCAAAGUGUAGGCCAGUAAGCCUGCCUUGAGCCUACCACAUGCUCAACCCGGUGGACAGACUAGAAUGAUAGAGGCUCGUAUGAUACUUGUUAGUAGUCUGUCUAAGCUC